AGCGCACGCUGGCGGCAGGCUUAACACAUGCAAGUCGAGCGGGCAUAGCAAUAUGUCAGCGGCAGACGGGUGAGUAACGCGUGGGAACGUACCUUUUGGUUCGGAACAACACAGGGAAACUUGUGCUAAUACCGGAUAAGCCCUUACGGGGAAAGAUUUAUUGCCGAAAGAUCGGCCCGCGUCUGAUUAGCUAGUUGGUGAGGUAAUGGCUCACCAAGGCGACGAUCAGUAGCUGGUCUGAGAGGAUGAUCAGCCACAUUGGGACUGAGACACGGCCCAAACUCCUACGGGAGGCAGCAGUGGGGAAUAUUGGACAAUGGGCGCAAGCCUGAUCCAGCCAUGCCGCGUGAGUGAUGAAGGCCCUAGGGUUGUAAAGCUCUUUUGUGCGGGAAGAUAAUGACGGUACCGCAAGAAUAAGCCCCGGCUAACUUCGUGCCAGCAGCCGCGGUAA
RNAcentral lists this ribosomal RNA (451 nucleotides) under uncultured bacterium. RNAcentral describes it as "partial 16S ribosomal RNA". It matches the Rfam family "Bacterial small subunit ribosomal RNA", at positions 29 to 523 of the family's 1533-position model. The record is from RNAcentral.